UUUAGGGGUAACCUGAGAAACCCGAAAGGUCGAAGGGAGAAAUUCAUUCGCGUUUCGCGGUAGGCGUUUGGCGGUCGCGUGACGAAAAACGCGCGUACGUUUCGGCGUACGUGUUCGUUUUUUCGCUCCAUCCGUCAUUCGAUCCGAUCGUGAACGCGUGCACUUUUCUCUCGGUAGGACGUCGCGAUCCGUUGGGUGUCGGUCUAAGGUUCGCGGUGGAGCCCGCAAAUAUACGUUUCACGACGCUAUUUGUGGACCCGCGUCUUUUCCCGACCGACUCGCUCGACGGUAUACGAUAGGUUUAAGGCCGCUCGAUACUUACACGAGCGUUCGACUCGUCGCAAGCGCGUCAGAUGUUUGUCGGCGAUCGGACCAGGUGCCGGUUCCGACCUCUGAUGACUGUUGGCGACGAAGUUCUCGAACGGACCUUAAUUUUCUUCACGGAAAAUUUUCAAAAACCGAUCUGCGACGCUAUAGCUUUGGGUACUUUCAGGACCCGUCUUGAAACACGGACCAAGGAGUCUAGCAUGCGCGCGAGUCAUUGGGAAUUUAAUAAACCUAAAGGCGUAAUGAAAGUAAAAGUUCGUCUCGCACGAACCUAGGGAAGAUGAACGGUUUUUUUGUGGACCGUUCCGCAUUCCCGGGGCGUCUCGUUCUCAUCGCGAGAAGAGGCGCACCAAGAGCGUACACGCUGGGACCCGAAAGAUGGUGAACUAUGCCUGGUCAGGACGAAGUCAGGGGAAACCCUGAUGGAGGUCCGUAGCGAUUCUGACGUGCAAAUCGAUCGUCGGAACUGGGUAUAGGGGCGAAAGACUAAUCGAACCAUC
RNAcentral lists this ribosomal RNA (827 nucleotides) under Polytus mellerborgi (small banana weevil). RNAcentral's name for it is "partial large subunit ribosomal RNA". It matches the Rfam family "Eukaryotic large subunit ribosomal RNA", at positions 409 to 944 of the family's 3401-position model. The record is from RNAcentral. Lineage: Eukaryota; Metazoa; Arthropoda; Insecta; Coleoptera; Curculionidae.